This 497-nucleotide ribosomal RNA is filed under the name uncultured bacterium. Its description in RNAcentral is "partial 16S ribosomal RNA". It matches the Rfam family "Bacterial small subunit ribosomal RNA", at positions 28 to 507 of the family's 1533-position model. The record is from RNAcentral.
GAUGAACGCUGGCGGCGUGCCUAAUACAUGCAAGUCGAGCGAACAGACGAGGAGCUUGCUCCUCUGACGCUAGCGGCGGAUGGGUGAGUAACACGUGGAUAACCUACCUAUAAGACUGGGAUAACUUCGGGAAACCGGAGCUAAUACCGGAUAAUAUAUUGAACCGCAUGGUUCAAUAGAGAAAGACGGUUUUGCUGUCACUUAUAGAUGGAUCCGCGCCGCAUUAGCUAGUUGGUACGGUAACGGCUUACCAAGGCGACGAUGCGUAGCUGACCUGAGAGGAUGAUCGGCCACACUGGAACUGAGACACGGUCCAGACUCCUACGGGAGGCAGCAGUAGGGAAUCUUCCGCAAUGGGCGAAAGCCUGACGGAGCAACGCCGCGUGUGUGAUGAAGGUCUUCGGAUCGUAAAACUCUGUUAUUUGGGAAGAACAAAUGUGUAAGUAACUAUGCACGUCUUGACGGUACCUAAUCAGAAAGCCACGGCUAACUACGUG